AUUUGGAACGUUCCAACAGGAAAUCUGUUCUAAAAAAGUAAAGUACAAAGUUGCCAACAAUCAACGCAUACAAAGUAGCACGAUCAACUCACCACGUAGCUUAUUCUCAAUGUUUGUCUAUGGGCUACCAGAGUGAGGACAGACAUUUUCGGAAUAAACGUGGUGAGUGAAAGAUUGAAUGAUAUAGCCCUCUCCCUACCCGGUGUCUUAUUCCGCCACUAUACAACUCUGUAUGCGGUGUUUGUUGACAACCUUGUUCUUUACGAAGUUUUUGGAACAGAUUCUUGUUGGAACGUUCCACAAAUUAUACCAACCCAUUCUGUUAACAUUGUUUUUGUUACAUCUAGGCCUAUCGCCCCAUUGUAAAAAUAUAAGAAUACACUGUACAAAAUAAUUUAUUCACAGAAUUGUUAAAGCUACUGUAGCGUAAUAGCUACAGCUAAAGUUAACUAGCUAACUAACUAGUAGACCUAGUAUGUCGCGCGACAACAGCAAAAAGUUCCCUCUGCCGCGUUUUUUUUUUACCAAUGUUUAGUGACUAGUUUCAAUAUGCUUUACUUUCGUAACUCACCAAAGUAAAGUUGUUGCUAUAGUGCAGGCAAACCUUUCUCUGAAUGCCUCAAUGACUGUAUAUGAAGGUAUGCAUAGUAGACGACUGGCUCUUGUCCGUGCGCAUGCGUUGGAUGUACUCGCAGCUUGCAGUGCAUGUGCGUGGACCAGAGUUUGAUAACUUACUUGGCUAAUCAUUUGUAAGACUCUCUAGCCUGAGAACUAUGACCACACAUUGGGCUCAUACUAACCACUGGGAGAAACACAUUUCAGAUCUUUCCUGGAGUUGAAACUGCUCUGAGGAAGAGGUCCACAAGUGGUUGAAAGACUUCCAGAGAACAUCAGAUUUGACUUGGAGAAAAAGGGUACUUCUGGCUGAAGUGGACAACAACACAUGUUGUGGUGCAAUAAUGUACUUCAUCCCGAAGAGGUUGAUUCAUUCGCAACGAAGAGAAUCAAGAUCUCCAUAUGAAAGGAGGUUGCCUCUUUCAUGGGCGUUUACGGAAUGGCGACAACCACAGUCUGACAAGUGCUGAGGUGCUGAAGAGGAGAAAUGUGUCAGCGGACACCAUUGAGAAAUUGACAAAGCUGUUUGAAAUAGUCCACUCUCUUUCAUCAGCUCUAAACAUGAUCAAAUAGGAGUUGCAAGUGGAGUAUGGAGACAACCAUGUGCAUGCCUCUGUGGACUCCUCCAUUUGCCCCAGCUUCAAUUCUGCUACAAGUCAGUUGCUUGACACACUUGAUCUGCUGAUUCAUACAGUGUAUUUAAAUGUUAUCACCAGAAAUCAUUUGCUUUAGGUGUGUUCCUCAUUUGUCCAUUACAGAUUAUACCACAAGCUUUUCAAAGAAGCAUGGGUUGCAAUCGUAUGUAGAGAACAAGAUUGAUGAUUCUCAUGAGAAUCUGGAUAACUGCAAUGAAGAAGAAUGUUCACCAGAAUGUUAUGUUUUCGACUGUGGCAACGUGUCUGAGGACACUGUUGUAAUCGAGUGUGCUCCCGUUUCUGAUGUAAACGGCUCAGGUACAUCUGGAAAACCAGCUGAGGGGGCGACGUUAGAGGAAGACUGGAUGGAGAUCUUUGAAGACCUCAAAAAGAAGAUGAGGGAGGAUCUUGUGUGUUUCAGGCCUAAAGUAGCAUCCUUUGUUUCCAGCUUCAAGAAGAUUAAAACAGACAGUGAACUCAUAGCCGCUCUAUCAAACUUUGGCAAAACCAACCCUGGACCAACAGCAAAGUUUCGCCAGGGACACGCACGCCCCGCAAAGAGCUCCAUAGGAGAGUGUGGACAUGGCACAUGCUGCUGGAAGAGGAAGGCACCCAAUUGAAUGUCUGUGUGUGGAAUAGCACAUGGACAUUGGGAGUACUACACAAAAUAAGCAAGUCAACAUCAGUGGCCCCAUGUGCCCAUCAUCCAACUGCUCACCAUCUGUGACCUUCAGUGCACUAGCGCUCUGCCCUCAAACACCCCCCAUCUGCCUACCACCUUUAUGUCAACUCCGCCUUGUACAAAACCAGUGGCUAUUUCAAUGCAUUGUGGCCUCUACAACACUAGAAUCAGUGGCUAUUUCAGUAUUGCAUUCUUGCCUUUUGGUUUUACGUUCAUUCAAUGCAAGACGUUUCUGCAAUUUCAUAUGUUUUGGAAAUUGAUUCCAUGUUUAUGGACCAUCAGACUUUAAAAAGCUGUUCUUCCAACCCAGUUGUAGAUCUACAGGCCUAUACUAUCACUGAACCAAAACAGUAGUUGUCAUGACUUUGCCGAGUCUUAAAUAUAAAAUGCUUAUUUAUAUUUUUUUAUAUACUGGUGUACGCUACCAUUAAAAAGUUUGGGGUCAUUUAGAAAUGUCCUUGUUUUUGAAAGAAAAGCCCCAUUAAAAUAACAUCAAAUUGAUCAGAAAUGCAGUGUAGACAUUGUUUAUGUUAUAAAUGACUUUUUAUUGUUGUUUUUUUAAUAGAAUAUCUACAUAGGCGUACAGGCCCAUUAUCAGCAACCAUCACUCCUGUGUUCCAAUGGCAUGUUGUUUUAGCUAAUCCAAGUUUAUCAUUUUAAAAGGUUCAUUGAUUAUUGCGUCAUCCGAAACAUGACCCGCCAGACCGCACUUCUUAACACCCACCUGCCAGCCACACCAAUGUAUCGGAGGAAACACUGUUCAACUCACUGUUCAACUACCGGGUCAGCCUGCAAGCACCAGGCCUGCCACAAGGAAUCGCUAGAGUGCAAUGAGCUUAGUAAAGCCCCCCCCCCGGCCAAACCCUCCCCUAAUAUGAUCACGGCCGGGUUGUGAUACAGCCUGGGAUCAAACCCGGGUCUGUAGUGACGCCUCUAGCACGGCAAUGCAGUGCCUUAGACUGCGGUGCAACUCGGGAGGCCUUAUAUAUAUAUUAUAUAUGUAUGUGUGUGUGUAUGGUAUGUGGACAUUAGGACUUGGUUAGUAAAUGUAAAAAUGUAGCAUUACAGUAAAUGUGUACAGAAAAUAAGUUGGCACACCUUGAUGUCCUCUACAUUAGACAUUUAUAAACAAG
Long non-coding RNA from Oncorhynchus tshawytscha (Chinook salmon), 3065 nucleotides. NCBI's taxonomy places the organism in Eukaryota, Metazoa, Chordata, Actinopteri, Salmoniformes, Salmonidae. The record is from Ensembl.